UGGGUAACCUGCCUUAUAGUGGGGGAGUAGCCUUUCGAAAGGAAGAUUAAUACCGCAUAAGAUUGUAGUAUCGCAUGAUAUAGCAAUUAAAGGAGCAAUCCGCUAUAAGAUGGACCCGCGUCGCAUUAGCUAGUUGGUGAGGUAAUGGCUCACCAAGGCGACGAUGCGUAGCCGACCUGAGAGGGUGAUCGGCCACAUUGGGACUGAGACACGGCCCAGACUCCUACGGAGGCAGCAUG
This 239-nucleotide ribosomal RNA is filed under the name uncultured bacterium. RNAcentral describes it as "partial 16S ribosomal RNA". It matches the Rfam family "Bacterial small subunit ribosomal RNA", at positions 118 to 353 of the family's 1533-position model. The record is from RNAcentral.